This 253-nucleotide ribosomal RNA is filed under the name uncultured bacterium. Its description in RNAcentral is "partial 16S ribosomal RNA". It matches the Rfam family "Bacterial small subunit ribosomal RNA", at positions 524 to 776 of the family's 1533-position model. The record is from RNAcentral.
UACGUAGGGUGCGAGCGUUAAUCGGAAUUACUGGGCGUAAAGCGUGCGCAGGCGGUUUUGUAAGCCAGAUGUGAAAUCCCCGGGCUUAACCUGGGAAUGGCAUUUGGGACUGCAAGGCUCGAGUGCGGCAGAGGAGACUGGAAUUCCUGGUGUAGCAGUGAAAUGCGUAGAUAUCAGGAGGAACACCGAUGGCGAAGGCGGCAUCCUGGACCGACAUUGACGCUGAUGAGCGAAAGCUAGGGGAGCAAACGGG